AAGCUAAGCAACUUCCGUAUCUAACAGGGGGCAACCCCCAACUACUUCAGGCGUUCUAGGGCUUAACUACUGUGUUCGGCAUGGGUACAGGUGUAUCUCCUAGGCUAUCGUCACUUAACU
Molecule: ribosomal RNA, 120 nt
Filed under: Streptococcus uberis 0140J
Lineage: Bacteria; Bacillati; Bacillota; Bacilli; Lactobacillales; Streptococcaceae
Source: RNAcentral